Long non-coding RNA from Pollicipes pollicipes, 705 nucleotides. RefSeq lists it as uncharacterized. NCBI's taxonomy places the organism in Eukaryota, Metazoa, Arthropoda, Thecostraca, Pollicipedomorpha, Pollicipedidae. The transcript is spliced from 3 exons. The record is from RefSeq and is a predicted model, not a curated record.
CGCGCCUCCAUCCUCUCAGCAAUCGCCACCGUCAAGCACCUGGCUCGUGACCGGCGUUACCCCAACACAGUGACGCGCUUCAAACGUUCGAUGUCGACGAUUUCCACUAUUCUGAUGCUGCUGCUGGCCACCCUGAGCAUGGUCAGCGGCCGCUGCCCGGACAACUGCCCAGCGGACUUCCACUGUGCGCCCAACACGCAUUGCUACCCGGAUAUCGACUUCGGUGACCAGCGUCGACUCAUCUGCUGCCCGAGACGAUGACCUCCUGGAUAUGACUUGGAAGAACACGACAUACGGUACAAGACACCAUGAACACACGAGGAACCCGGAGUGAGCGGGCGGGCAGGCGUGGAGCACCGUGGCAUCCCAGCCAGACAGAAAAGGAUGAGAGUUCAACUCAGAGUAAAUUGUGUCGCCAUACUGGUGCUGUUUCAGUACUUUCUGCUUCCAAUGGACGUUGGACGUGGGAUGGAUUUUACACAGCGCGCAAUGAACCGGAGACUUUGGUCACGUGUUGGAUAUGCUUGACAUGCUCACGUUCCAUUUUCGUGCGGAAGAAAUCACAGAUAAAAAUAUGUGAAGCGCAUGCUUUUGUUUCUGAUUGGGCUGUGUUGUAGUGAUAACGCGCACUGCCACGCAAUGCAUGCGCCACGAACGCGAGCGCAUGUCUUUUGCAGUAGUAUGGUGACAGUGCGCAUUGCUAUU